UGCAAGCUGAAGCCGGGAAAGUAGUGUGAAGGUUCUUCAUGAGAAGUGUCUGCCGGACUGUAAUACUUCAAGAGACUUGAGAGCGAGAUUGUGACUUUGAGGUGAGGUUGUAAGAAGUGGACUUGAGAGACAAAUUUACUAUAGAUCAGAGGACGAUCUAUUGAGUGGAGUAUUAGAAUCCUGGAAAAAGUGUGUUCUGCACUAGGUGGGGCAAUGGCCCAAGUCCCAACAGCUUACUCGUUUGAUGCCCCCACCGACUUUAUCAACUUUUCAUCUUUGGAUGCUGAAGAGGACACUGAAAAUAUAGACUCAUGGUUUGAUGAGAAGGCCAACUUGGAGAACAAGUUUCUUCGGCAGAGUGG
This 362-nucleotide long non-coding RNA is filed under the name Rattus norvegicus (Norway rat). Its description in RNAcentral is "long non-coding RNA NONRATT018754". The record is from RNAcentral. Lineage: Eukaryota; Metazoa; Chordata; Mammalia; Rodentia; Muridae.